RNAcentral lists this transfer RNA (73 nucleotides) under Phycisphaerae bacterium. Its description in RNAcentral is "tRNA-Lys". It matches the Rfam family "tRNA". Rfam says of the family: Transfer RNA (tRNA) molecules are approximately 80 nucleotides in length. Their secondary structure includes four short double-helical elements and three loops (D, anti-codon, and T loops). Further hydrogen bonds mediate the characteristic L-shaped molecular structure. tRNAs have two regions of fundamental functional importance: the anti-codon, which is responsible for specific mRNA codon recognition, and the 3' end, to which the tRNAs corresponding amino acid is attached (by aminoacyl-tRNA synthetases). tRNAs cope with the degeneracy of the genetic code in two manners: having more than one tRNA (with a specific anti-codon) for a particular amino acid; and 'wobble' base-pairing, i.e. permitting non-standard base-pairing at the 3rd anti-codon position. The record is from RNAcentral. Lineage: Bacteria; Pseudomonadati; Planctomycetota; Phycisphaerae.
GAUUGCGUAGCUCAGUUGGUAGAGCAGCUGGCUUUUAACCAGCGGGUCCCGGGUUCGAGUCCCGGCGCAAUCA